Molecule: non-coding RNA, 1649 nt
Organism: Phoenix dactylifera (date palm)
Lineage: Eukaryota; Viridiplantae; Streptophyta; Magnoliopsida; Arecales; Arecaceae
Source: RefSeq, a predicted model, not a curated record
AGUUGACAUCAAGAAGGGCCUCCCAGUUCCCAGUCCCCGUUUCCUCUCGUUCCCGUUCUCCGGCCCCUGGCUUUCUCGGGGGUUCCAUUAUGCUUCGAAUCCAAACCCACUCUGCGGCUGUUCCGCCCGGCUUCGCUCCUUCCUCUUCUUCUCCCACCGCCGACGCACGGUUCUUGUCUAGCUCCGCCAAAUUUUCGAAAUCGAUCCCUCUCUUCGUCCUGCGCUUCGAUAGAUCGCGCCGCAGGAGAUCCCUUCUCCGCCCCUGCAAGGCUUCCCUCGGCAAUGGCGAUCGAGGGACCGCUGGAGACGGCGGCGGUGGCUGCGGCGCCGACGACGAUGACCAAUUCCUCCAGGCAUUUCUCCUCCUCUCAGAGACUGUCAGGCACUACAACCUGUGGAAGCAGGGUUUUGCAGUAGAUGAAAAAAGGAAUUUGCUUGGUCAUAGGCACUCUUUUUCUCAUCGGGCAAAAGGGGAAAAUUCAAGUGGUAGCCCCUUUGGCCAAGGGUUUCUUCGUCGAUUUCAGAGCCCUACUAUAUUUCUCAAAAUUGCUUGUGAUGGGGAUCUACUAUUGCCAAUAAUUGUAGGAGAGUUUGCUAUUAGAAGACUUAUUAGUGACUCAACAGAUGAUCAACAUGAGGAAUUCCCAGAUCAGUUUCAGUUUGUGAAAAAUAUUGUGGGGACAUUUGGCUAUGAGGUGAAAAUGGUGCGCAUUACAGAAAGGGUGGUCAAUACAUAUUAUGCGCGCAUAUUCCUCGGAAAGCACACAGAGAGGGCCAAUAUGAGCAUUGAUGCGCGCCCCUCAGAUGCUAUAAUUGUUGCCAAAAGGUUCCAGGCACCAAUUUAUGUAAGCAAGGCAAUUGUUCUAACAGAUGCUGUUAAAAUUGUUCAUGGAACAUCAAGAGGAAGUGGUGGAAAGACUGUUUAUGAUGUAUCCAUGGACAGCGCAGCAGAAGGCCCUGAUCCACUUGUUGAGGAACUUGAUUUGGUCAGAAAGAUGAAUACAGCAGUCAUGGAGGAAAGAUAUGAAGAUGCAGGCAUCUGUGUUGAGAGACAAGCUUGCUAAGCUCCGCAUGCCAAGACAAGAACUGUAGAUAAUUCUUAAUCAAGAUCCGACUUGGUUCAGGCUCCCCUCCGCCAAAAUCCCGUCCCACAAGGUUGAAUUGGAAAGAUAGCAACAAUAGGAAGGGUUUAUUGCUGUUUAAGCUCGGUCUCAAGCAUUACUGGCAGAUUGUUCAACUUGAAGAGCAAUAUCUUGGAGUCAAACAAGAUCCCAUUAGUCUCACCCAAAGCCAUAGCAUGAUAUGUACAGUGCAAAGUUGUACUGCCCUUUUCAUCUGUUGUUGUUGGAAGAAAAUCUAUCCUGCUUCGAAGCUGCCAUGAGGUUUUGAUUGGCUGAAUGGACUCGAGUGACCAAGAAUGUGAAUAAUCCACAGAAAAGUUGCUUAUGGGAGGAUAUGGUAAAGGCUUUUCUUAAUUUUUGUGGUGGUCUAGGAGGGGUGUCUUCAUGUGUCUGGAGCAGUCAAUGCCCUGUAUUUAGCUUUUACCUCCGCUCAAAUGACAAGAAAUUUAAACCAUUCCAGAGGAGCUGUACUCUCUUUAUUCUGUCCCCAUUUGCCCGGUUUAAGUAGCAAGCAAUUCACUUCUGAUA